GUCGGGGCUCUGCGCGGUCAGGCUGGAGGAGGCGAGCGGCGAUGCGCUGGCAGGAGCCAGGCUGCUGGGGUGCCGUCUCUCUUCUGGCGUCUUCCAGAACUUACGGCGGAGCAGGUGCCCGUGCAAGAGUGAGAUUCAUACACCGGACGAGCAGACAUUGAAAGGACAACGGACCCGUCUCCCUGGAGGAGCCGAGGUUGAUCAGAUGUGCCUGUGGGAAUCCAGACACCACCAGUGACAUCAGGGAUUCGUCGUGUUACCUCGAGCCCAUCUGAAGCGUUCUUUCCAGAACUCAAGUCUAAAUGACAGACCCUGUCCCAUCAGUGAUUUUUCAAGCAUCAGCCCAUUGCAACAAGUGUUCAGUAGAAGUGGCCAGGACAGACGCUCUUGUGUUCCCGAUCUUCCCCCGGGGAGACUGCGGUCACUGUGGGGUCCCCUGAGAAAGUGGAGAAAAUCGAUUGAAACUCCUCUUGUGCUGUAGAGCGGAGGCUGCGCUUAGGAUCAGGGCGACCUGCACACGGGUGCGGGCCUUGGGCCCACGGACCCUCAGGAAGCAUCCUGUCAGAAUCCUGAAGACGAGAGCCUGAGGGGCAUGAUCAGCCGAGUGAGCGCACGGGGUCCUGCCUGUUGUUAGGGAAAUGGCAGGCCAGCCAGGAGACAGCACCGCUCGGAGGGCUGGAGCACUCAGGUUUGUCACGCUGGCGGCUCGGAGGGGCUACGGCUCCUGAGCUCUGAGCGCCUCCAGAAGUGUGAGUGAGGGUUUUGCAGGGUCACUUCCAAGCUCGGGGUCCAUCAACCAAUAGGGUGAGUGCAGCGAGGCGGUGUCACAGCAGCGGAAGCAAAGGGUUGCUUGCAGUCACCCGAAACCGGUCUGCAGGGUGAGACUUAAACUCCGUGCGUUAGCCCAGCCCAGCUUGGCCCAGCCCAAGCGUUUCCUUCUCACUGUCACCUCUGUCGUGAGGGCUGCUUCAGUUAUCUAGAGAACACACCUCUGCAGCUUUUUAUCAAUGCAAGUUUUCUAACGCCCUUCAGGGGUUUGCAUGUGUGUGAGUGUCUUCGUGGGAGGAUCUAGUGACUGCAGGGCGCGAGCUGUGAGAGGCAUUUCUGAGCCCUCACCGCCGUCCCCCCCUGGGGUCCGGCCUGUAGAACCCUGCGUCCCAGGCUGUGCUGAAGUGACGGCCUGUCCUCGCACGGCUGGAAGCUGAGUGACGUUUAAUGUACACUUGGUGAUGUGUUAGCUGCGUCUUGUUUUAUACCUGCGCUUUCAGGGGCCUCCACUGCCGUGUGCGCACCUCUCUCCCCCCGAUUGGAGAAACUG
Molecule: non-coding RNA, 1318 nt
Organism: Vicugna pacos (alpaca)
Lineage: Eukaryota; Metazoa; Chordata; Mammalia; Artiodactyla; Camelidae
Source: RefSeq, a predicted model, not a curated record